UACGUAGGGCGCAAGCGUUGUCCGGAAUUAUUGGGCGUAAAGAGCUCGUAGGCGGUUUGUCGCGUCUGCUGUGAAAUCCCGAGGCUCAACCUCGGGCUUGCAGUGGGUACGGGCAGACUAGAGUGCGGUAGGGGAGACUGGAAUUCCUGGUGUAGCGGUGGAAUGCGCAGAUAUCAGGAGGAACACCGAUGGCGAAGGCAGGUCUCUGGGCCGCAACUGACGCUUAGGAGCGAAAGCAUGGGGAGCGAACAGG
Molecule: ribosomal RNA, 253 nt
Filed under: uncultured bacterium
Lineage: Bacteria
Description: partial 16S ribosomal RNA
Rfam family: Bacterial small subunit ribosomal RNA
Source: RNAcentral